This 1333-nucleotide long non-coding RNA is filed under the name Bos grunniens (domestic yak). Its description in RNAcentral is "lncRNA (ENSBGRG00000015447.1)". The record is from RNAcentral. Lineage: Eukaryota; Metazoa; Chordata; Mammalia; Artiodactyla; Bovidae.
CCUUAAUCAGGUGCUUCUUUGCUGUUAAGGGUUGGGGGUCUGCAUCCCAUAAGCAGGAGGACCAGCAAAGGAAUGGUGGUUUCCGAGAAGAAAGUCAAAGUGUUGUGGUCAGAAGAGAGACGGUGGAUUCCAGGCAGAAAGAGACAACUGCUGUUUCGUUUUGAGAUUCCGUAAGAAUAUGUCUGUGGGACAAUGGAAGCCUAAGACUGGUAGGUUCUCACGCCUACCCUUCAAAGCCUCUGGAGAUGGGGGAAUGACUGGAGUGGUCCAGAUGAAGGCAGUGAGCCAGCUCAAGGACGGGGUGACCCAGUGGAAGACAGUGGCGGAAACAGGUGUUGGCUUUGCGAAGAAAUUCUGAUGAAUUCACUGAAAGUCCAGUGUCUACGGCGAGCUCUCCUGGGCUUCACGAGCAGCAGGCUCACAUCUGCUUCUCCCUCUUUGCAUUGUAAGCAGGAAGUUCACCGUCUGUUCAGACACAAAGGAGAUGUUAGCAGCACUUUAUUGGAUCCGCUCAAGCAUCAGGAUCUUUUCCAAUGAGUUGGCCUUCAGCUUCAGCAUCAGUCUCCAGGCAAGAAUACUGGAGUGGGUUGCCAUGCCCUCCUCCAGGGGAUCUUCCCGACCCAGGGAUUGAACCCUCUCAUGUCCCUUGCGUUGGCAGGUAGGUUCUUUACCACUAGCACCACCUGGGAAGGCCUUGGUUUUUAUAAAGGAAUGACAUAUUAAAAAUGCUGUUGGAGCCCUUCUCACCAUUUACCCUCUCCCCCAGUCCCUCUCCUCUCCUCUCCUCCUCUGUACUCCCUCCUCAGAAGUAACUCCCCCUGAAUUUGCAUUAAUUGUCCCCAUGCAAGAUUUUUACUAUUAAUACAUAUAUUAAUAUAUAUAUUUUCUGUGAACACUAAUGUGUAUCUAUGCAUGCAUAUAUAACAUAUAAAAUAUAUGUAUGUUUCCUAAACAGCCUUCUUUGCAUGAGUUCACACUUAGCAUCUCUAUCAUCCUAUGCAUACUAUCUACAAUUUCCUUUUCCAGCUCAACUUUAUAUUUUGGAGAUUUAUCCAUGGUGAAACAUUGAGCUCUGUCUCGAGCACUUUAACUGCUGCAUCAUAUUUGUUUGUAUGAAUUUCUGUGUGCACUUUCCUCCCGUGAAUGCUUGCCACCUCCAGUUUUUCACAAAAUGUUGCAGUGUACAUUCCUGUACACGUCCCACCCUGAACACUUCUCUAGCGGGUAGGCUUUCAAGCUGACCUGACUGCCACCAGCUAUCAGAAAUUCAUGUUAUGCUGAGACCCAGUGCAACACUCACAUGUAUACAGAUACACAGUACUCUUAGGACGCU